Molecule: unclassified non-coding RNA, 2822 nt
Filed under: Hevea brasiliensis (rubber tree)
Lineage: Eukaryota; Viridiplantae; Streptophyta; Magnoliopsida; Malpighiales; Euphorbiaceae
Source: RNAcentral
GGAAUAAAUAAAAGAAUGAUCGAUAAAGUAAACAACAUCCGGAAGUUUUUUGGCACAGUACUACAUGUUUUAAAGCAGCUUUCUCAUGCUUCUCCAGUAAGAACAGCAAAAAAGUGGCGCUUAGGUUCUGCAGAGAAAGCUGGCAAUAAAAAAUAUGGCAGUGCAAACAUAUUGAAAGGAUCAGAAUCAUGUAAAUGAGAAGAAUCAUCAGAAAACAUCGGGACACCUAAUAAGAAAUUGCUUAAUAUCAAGGAAAAAAGAAACAAAUGCUGAAAUUACAUUAUCAGAUGCUUUUCUAUUUAGGUUUUGAUAGAAGGCAGUCCAUACUAAACCAUCACAAACAUCAAAUAUAGUGCCAAAGCAGUUACUUGCAUAAAUGUAUCAGUGCUCAGCACGUCAACCACAGGUUAGGACCAGUAUCCAACAGGGUUAGUCGAGUAGAUAAGGAUGUGAUAAGUCUCCCUUUCCCAUCAAUAAGGAUUCAACUGCACUGGGAAGCACUCCAAGAUUAUUUAAAAAUCCUGAAUGCAUUGGGUCCUUCAGAGAGGAGACUUUAGUCCCACCGUGCGUAAGUUCGCCCAAAGAUGCUGGCAUCAAGUCAAUGGUAUAUGUUCCUCUAUGGAAUAUAUGUGCUUAAAUCAAUUUAUUUUUACGUGGGGACGACAUUCUAGUUCUUCUGGCCUCAUAGUUGACAAUCAAAUUGAAUUGCAAUUGGAGGUCUCAAAGGCACCAACAAGAAUGUUUAGAUCAGAGUCCUCAGCCAUGUUGGAUGGGCAAUAACUGAAUCCUUUAAUCUUUUCCCUCAGUUGAUCUUGUCAUUAUUGAUCCUUAUGUGGGAGAUGUGAGAAAUCUUGGACCAAUCUUCCCCUGUCUCUGGUAGACAACUUUGUUCCAGCAAAGGGCAUUUGUAGAUGAACAGUGAAGAAAGGGAGGAAGGCAGCCCAUCUUUUGGCAUUGAAUGAAGCUUGGGGCAGUUCCAUAUGUCCAGAUCUCUAAGAGAGGUGUGAUGUUCAAGUCCCUUGCAAUCCAAAGAUUUCAGAUUUUGAAGAUCCCCAAUUUUAAGAGUGAAAAGGGUAGAGGGUAAGCCCUCUUCUGGCAUGGACUCAAGAUUAGGACACUUCCAGAUCUUCAAUUCUCUAAGAGAGGUGAGUCUUUGAAGCCCCCUGCAGUCCAGAAAUUUAAGAUUUUCAAGAUUCCAGAGUCUAAGAGAGGUAAGAGUGGAAGGCAGCAACUUAUCCUCUGGAAAGGAUUCCAAAUCUUCAUUUCUUCCAAUACUGAAGCAUUGAAGAGAGUGGGGUAAUUGCGAGUUCCGUUGCUUGCAGGCAGCAAUCAGUUUGUUGCAGCUUUCAAUGUGAAGUGAUCUUAAUUUGAAAGGAAGCCCUUCUACUGGAAAGGACUCAAGUUCUUGGCAAUUAUCUAUCUCCAUAUUCACAAGUGAAGGAAGGAGAGUGUGCAUACACUCAGAUAGUGACUUCAAAUUUGAGCAACCCCAUAACCGCAGGCGUGUCAGAUUUGGGAAUGGUAAUCCUCCUUCAAGGAAAUGUACUAACUUGGAGCAUUCCCCAAUUUCCAAGGAACUGAGGGGUGAAAAAUUCACAAGAAUUCCCUUAGCUGCAAAAACACAUUCCAGAUUUGGACAUCUGCUGAUAUGAAGACUCUUCAACCUGGGGAACACAUCAAUUGGGAAGCACAAGAGUGAGUUGCAAUUAGUCAUUACAAUUUCUUCUAAAUUUGUGGAAAGACAACCUAUUUGCUCCAGUCUCUCUAGUAAGGAAUCUAGGGAGUGGAAUCUGUCAACUCUAAGACUGUAAAGCCCAGAAGUCAAUUUCUGUAACUGCACAUCACGGUAAGAGUCCUUAAACUUCAUUUUAAGGAUGGUGGGAGCAUUUGGAAAUGAAUCCACAAGCUGAUGACAUCCCUCAAUCUCAAGUGCUGAUAGAGAAGGAAGUUGAAUAGGCAGGGCCUUGAUUAGCUUGGGACAUUUUUUUACAGAAAGCUCUUGGAGGAGAGGGAAAGCUCCACCUUCUUCAUCCUCACCUGCAUAUGAAAUCCAUUCUUGCCACUGUGGUAUUUUCUCAAAUCUUAAAAUUUUGAGGGAACAAAAUGGCUUCUUUUUGGGCGUGCGGCUUCUUCCAUAAAACUCAGAACCCACAAUCUCUACUUUAUCAAAUGCUGUGAUGGAGAGGUCUUGUAGAGAUACCAACUGACCAAGUGGGGGUAAGGAUAAGCACCUUUUACUCCCGCUUAACUUCAAGGAUAGUAGAUUUGAGAAAGAAUGAUCACCAACCCAAUUUGGAAAUCUUGAAGCCCCAAAACCAACAAUAGAAAGAUAGCUCAGAUGCUUAUGAGGCUGUAAUUGCUCAAGCACUCUUCUUUCAUGCACUGAAUUCUUAGUUUCACCAGCCCAUCUCAAUUUCAACAUUUUAAGGUGCUUCAUAACCUUCAAAUCGGCUUCUAUAGCCUCCUGAGAAUCAACAAUGUUUUGCAGAUUCCGAAUGCAAAGUUCUCCUCGGAGAUCCUGAAGCUCUCUCAGCUCUUUAAUUCUAGACCCACCCUGCUCUCCCAAGACGAAAUCAGUUAACUUCUUAAGCUUUGUUAGUUUACCCAUUUGUGGUGGCAUUUCCCGCAAAUUUGUUUCUCUAAUGUCAAAAUGCUUCAAGUUGAUUAGCCUUCCCAUGUUGGUUGGCAACACAACGAGUUUCUUGCACCGACGUAAGAUCAAAGUUUGCAGAGCGUACAAACUACAGGUAGAUUCAGGUAAUCUUCGAAUUGAUGUUUCAGAGAGAUUAAAGUACCGUAAAUGCUUCAAAUUGCCAAUUGAA